RNAcentral lists this ribosomal RNA (403 nucleotides) under Fusobacteriota bacterium. RNAcentral's name for it is "Fusobacteria bacterium partial 16S ribosomal RNA". It matches the Rfam family "Bacterial small subunit ribosomal RNA", at positions 355 to 776 of the family's 1533-position model. Lineage: Bacteria; Fusobacteriati; Fusobacteriota. The record is from RNAcentral.
UGGGGAAUCUUGCACAAUGGGGGAAACCCUGAUGCAGCGACGCCGCGUGAGCGAUGAAGGUUUUCGAAUCGUAAAGCUCUGUCCUAUGGGAAGAUAAUGACGGUACCAUGGGAGGAAGCCCCGGCUAACUACGUGCCAGCAGCCGCGGUAAUACGUAGGGGGCGAGCGUUGUCCGGAAUUACUGGGCGUAAAGGGUUCGCAGGCGGCAUGGCAAGUCCGAUGUAAAAGGCGAAGGCUCAACCUUCGUAAGCAUCGGAAACUGUCAAGCUUGAAUGAAGGAGAGGCAAGUGGAAUUCCUAGUGUAGCGGUGGAAUGCGUAGAUAUUAGGAGGAAUACCGGUGGCGAAGGCGACUUGCUGGACAUCAACUGACGCUGAGGAACGAAAGCGUGGGUAGCAAACAGG